CUAGCACUUUUCACUAGUCCUUCCGUAGGCAGUGGGACCAGGAUUUGGUAGCUGGUCCUGAAAGAAAAUCCUUGAUUGUAUCUUUGCCUUGGGACUGUACUAGUGGCAGUUGACAUUCAAUGGGAUAGAG
This is a small nucleolar RNA of Oryctolagus cuniculus (rabbit), 130 nucleotides long. The record is from Ensembl. NCBI's taxonomy places the organism in Eukaryota, Metazoa, Chordata, Mammalia, Lagomorpha, Leporidae.